UCGGAGGUUCUACGAGAACAGAUCCGAGAAGUCCAGAAGCUUGCCAAGCGAAGCUCGUCGGAACUUGCCAAAUGGAUCGUCGCAAAGUCCAGGAGUUUGCCGGAAGUCCGCAGGAGCAUCACCGAGGGUUCAUCGGAUGAUCGACGGAAGUUCGCCGGAAACUCGCCGGAAGGAGCGAUUGACGCACCGAAGCAAAGCUGCAGAAGUUGUCUUAGAUUUAAUCAUAGUUAGCACAUUGAUUAAGUUGGAAAAUGGGAGGUGAUCCCAUUGGCUUAAUCUUGGGGCAAUUGGGC
This 293-nucleotide long non-coding RNA is filed under the name Musa acuminata (dwarf banana). Its description in RNAcentral is "long non-coding RNA (MACU_LNC010264)". The record is from RNAcentral. Lineage: Eukaryota; Viridiplantae; Streptophyta; Magnoliopsida; Zingiberales; Musaceae.